UACAGAGGGGGCAAGCGUUGUUCGGAAUUACUGGGCGUAAAGGGCGCGUAGGCGGCCUGUUAAGUCGAACGUGAAAUCCCCGGGCUCAACCCGGGAACUGCGUCCGAUACUGGCAGGCUUGAAUCCGGGAGGGGGUAGCGGAAUUCCCAGUGUAGCGGUGAAAUGCGUAGAUAUUGGGGAGGAACACCAGUGGCGAAGGCGGCUACCUGGACCGGUUCUGACGCUGAGACGCGAAAGCGUGGGGAGCAAACAGG
RNAcentral lists this ribosomal RNA (254 nucleotides) under uncultured bacterium. RNAcentral describes it as "partial 16S ribosomal RNA". It matches the Rfam family "Bacterial small subunit ribosomal RNA", at positions 524 to 776 of the family's 1533-position model. The record is from RNAcentral.